CCGGUAUACUGGCCCCUCCGCCCCCUCCGCCCAAGUGGGAAAGUCGACCAGAGGUUGCCCCCGCGGGUGCCCAGCGCCAGGCUCUGGGACGCACGCAUUCGGACCGCGCCCACGUGGAGGUCCAGCCUGGAUGCCCCUCCCACGGAUAGGGGGAGAUGGCACUUAAGCGCAGGCAGACAUCCCUCCUCUGGAGUCCUGGCGCCCCUGGCCUGCCCCGGCGUCCUAGCGGGGCUCACCCGCACCAAGCCCGCCCGCGCGAUCCCGUCUGCGCCCAGGCGGUGCGCCAGGUGCCUCGGAUUCCCGGGACGGAUCUAGCGGGCCUGCUAGGGAGAGAGUUGGAGGAGGAGGGGGAAAAGGCUGCCCACUGCAGGACAGCGCGCCCGGGGGUCGCUGGGCAAAUCCAGACCACAACCGGGUACGCUCCAGACGAGUUUGCUGGCUUGGUGCCCGGCCUGGGCUGGCGUCCCCGGCCAUAGGGUGCUAAACUUCUGAAUGAAAUGUAGACAUCUAGAAAAGUGCACACAUGCCCCCAGCUGUGGAAGACAAAUGCCGCCGCCUAGGGUGAUGUCACCAGCUCGGCCACACCCAGGUCCCAGCCAGGGCUCCGUUACAAGAGGAAGCCUCUCCCCAACCUGCUUACAAUCCGAGGUCACCUGCCAGCUGUGUGCGUGGAGCUGUUUUCCAUCAGGGCUGGCGUGUCUGGUCCCCUUCCUCCCUUCAACUCUGGAUGUGCCAGGGUUUCUAGGUGCUCCCAAAGGGCCCUUCUGGCC
Bos taurus (domestic cattle) is the source of this 770-nucleotide long non-coding RNA. Lineage: Eukaryota; Metazoa; Chordata; Mammalia; Artiodactyla; Bovidae. The record is from Ensembl.